GUUUUAUGCAGUUUCCUCUUUCUUCACGUUCUAGACCCGAUCUGCGUAAUGGCGGUGAAGAGGUCACUGAAGAUAAACUGCUCUGUUCUGUAACAGAAUGCAUUGCUGUAUACCCAGCUCUUCAGAAAACCAUCUUAAAUCUGCUGAUGACCACACUGGAAGAAAAAGGAUUUUUGAGUGGACGACAUGUUGAGUGGGUCUUACGUCAAGAUGCAGUGGGCCGCUGUGAGAACCCACUGGUUGUUGAUGAGCGUCCCUCCACAGGUGUGGCUCGACCUCCAGUGUAUGCUGAC
Molecule: long non-coding RNA, 293 nt
Organism: Xiphophorus couchianus (Monterrey platyfish)
Lineage: Eukaryota; Metazoa; Chordata; Actinopteri; Cyprinodontiformes; Poeciliidae
Exons: 3
Source: RefSeq, a predicted model, not a curated record